Molecule: ribosomal RNA, 442 nt
Filed under: uncultured bacterium
Lineage: Bacteria
Description: partial 16S ribosomal RNA
Rfam family: Bacterial small subunit ribosomal RNA
Source: RNAcentral
CCUAGGGGGGGCAGCAGUGGGGAAUAUUGGGCAAUGGACGCAAGUCUGACCCAGCAACGCCGCGUGAAGGAAGAAGGCUUUCGGGUUGUAAACUUCUUUUAAGGGGGAAGAGCAGAAGACGGUACCCCUUGAAUAAGCCACGGCUAACUACGUGCCAGCAGCCGCGGUAAUACGUAGGUGGCAAGCGUUGUCCGGAUUUACUGGGUGUAAAGGGCGUGCAGCCGGAGAGGCAAGUCAGAUGUGAAAUCCGCGGGCUCGACUCGCGAACUGCAUUUGAAACUGCUUCCCUUGAGUAUCGGAGAGGUAAUCGGAAUUCCUAGUGUAGCGGUGAAAUGCGUAGAUAUUAGGAGGAACACCAGUGGCGAAGGCGGCUUACUGGACUGUAACUGACGUUGAGGCUCGAAAGCGUGGGGAGCAAACAGGAUUAGAUACCCGGGUAGUC